This 253-nucleotide ribosomal RNA is filed under the name uncultured bacterium. RNAcentral describes it as "partial 16S ribosomal RNA". It matches the Rfam family "Bacterial small subunit ribosomal RNA", at positions 524 to 776 of the family's 1533-position model. The record is from RNAcentral.
UACAGAGGUCCCAAGCGUUGUUCGGAUUCAUUGGGCGUAAAGGGUGCGUAGGCGGCGCGGUAAGUCGGGUGUGAAAUCUCGGAGCUUAACUCCGAAACUGCAUUCGAUACUGCCGUGCUUGAGGACUGGAGAGGAGACUGGAAUUUACGGUGUAGCGGUGAAAUGCGUAGAUAUCGUAAGGAAGACCAGUGGCGAAGGCGGGUCUCUGGACAGUUCCUGACGCUGAAGCACGAAGGCCAGGGGAGCAAACGGG